CACACGGACCCUGCCUGCCACCCUGAGCCCCAGCUGGGACCAGACCCUGGUCUUCCACCACCUGCUGAUCUACGGAGACCCCCAGGCCACCCGGCAGGACCCGCCGCUGGUGGUGCUGGAGCUGUUUGACCAGGACGUGAUCGACAAGGAUGACUUCCUGGGCAGGAGCAUUUGCCCCCCACUGGCCUGUCUGGAGCUGGACUGCAGGCUGCCCCCCCGCCUCCAGUGGCAUCCGAUCACCAGGCAGCAGAAGGACGCGGGCGAGCUCUUGGCGGCCUUUGAGCUGCUGCUGGAGACUGAGGACGGUGCCCCCGGCCGCCUUCCUGUCCCCCCCUGGAAGAACGGGGUCUACACCAUCCCUGCCGGCAUCCGGCCCACGCUGCGGCUGAUGGCCAUCGAG
Molecule: non-coding RNA, 400 nt
Organism: Pelodiscus sinensis (Chinese soft-shelled turtle)
Lineage: Eukaryota; Metazoa; Chordata; Testudines; Trionychidae
Source: RefSeq, a predicted model, not a curated record